Non-coding RNA from Heterocephalus glaber (naked mole-rat), 1061 nucleotides. The record is from RefSeq and is a predicted model, not a curated record. Lineage: Eukaryota; Metazoa; Chordata; Mammalia; Rodentia; Bathyergidae.
CUGCUGCACAAGCACAAGGACCUGAGUUCAAUCCCCAGUACCAAACAAAAAACAAAAAAACACUUUCAAGUGGGGGGCAACUGCCCUUCCUUGGGUUAGCCAGUUCUUAGAGAUGGCAAAGGGCCCAGCCAACCCAUGUAUUUGAUAUGCACCCUAAUCAGACCAGAGCCAGAUGGCCUCUAUCUGAUCCCUUAACCCUCAAAUGUCUCUAUUUACCCCUGGCCAAGUGCCAGCUAACUAGGAACUACACUUGUAAGCCAAAGUCACUGAAAUUAUUCAAACUAGCCAGUCCUAAACUGUAGACCUUGUCCUUGCCUUUAUAGAAACCCCGAUAAAGGCCUACACCUUCCUCUCACUCCUGCCUCUGCCACCUAACCACCCUGACAUCUUUCCUAUGUGACCCUGCGUGGGAUGCCCUGCCUCCUGCCUCCAGCACCUGAGCACAGGAAGAUCGAAUGGGAUUUUUUUUUUCCCUGCAAUGCUUGUGAACCCAGGACCUCACAUGUGACAGGUUGAGGGCCUGGAAUGUCAUGGAAGCUCAAGGAACCACAUGAACUGCUGAGGUACCGGAGGACGCACCAUCCAUCCUCACUAGAGACUGCUACUAGGCUGGUCUGUCUUGGUCACUGCAGAAGCCUGGGACACACUAGGCUGUUAAUAAAUGUUUCUUGGAAGCAAGAAAUGAGUAAAGCUGCCCAAAUGCCAGUGUCACUGUGAAGCACUGUUGCUGGAGGCUGUUCUGUGUCUCCCCAUUGCCCCUUUUGUGAUCCCAACACCUAGACAGCUCUUGGGCCUCAGACUUGCCCAGCUCACCUCCUGUCUUCCUCCCACACCUUCCUCUGUGCAGCCAGACCAGCCGCUCACCGUCCCCUCUCCGAGGUGCACAGGUCCACUGCAGACCACUGCAGGGCUGAAGCAUUCCCUCCACGGCCUGCCUAGAGUUCUUUCCUCUCCCACCUCCCUUGUAAAAUCCUGAAACUAGGUGUGGUGGCACACAUCUGUGAUCCCAGCAGUUGGGAGGCUGAGGCAGAAGGAUUACCACUAGUUCCAGGCCAUCCUGG